AAUGAACGCUGGCGGCGUGCUUUACACAUGCAAGUCGAGCGAGGCGUGUAGCAAUACACAGUCGAGCGGCGAACGGGUGAGUAACGCGUGGAUUAUCUGCCCUGAGGUGGGGGAUAACCCGGGGAAACUCGGGCUAAUACCGCAUAUGACCGUGAGGUCAAAGGGGGGUCGCAAGAUCUCUCGCCAUAGGAGGAGUCCGCGUCCGAUUAGCUAGUUGGUAGGGUAAUGGCCUACCAAGGCGACGAUCGGUAGCCGGCCUGAGAGGGUGAU
This 270-nucleotide ribosomal RNA is filed under the name uncultured bacterium. Its description in RNAcentral is "partial 16S ribosomal RNA". It matches the Rfam family "Bacterial small subunit ribosomal RNA", at positions 29 to 304 of the family's 1533-position model. The record is from RNAcentral.